GGGGGCGAUCGGAUUCGACUGGUUCACCGAGGGUGCAGGUUGCGUGUCGUGGUUGAUCAGUUGGCCACGUAAAAAGCUGAUCACACAAUAACUGCCAACAAGCAGUACGCUCUGGCUGCCUAAAGCUGCCACCGGCCCGUGAGCUCCGUCUGAAGCGAGCGGAUCGCCGGUCACCCUCAGACUGGUUUCGAGCUAACGUCCCCGCAAGGGGGCGGACGACGGCAACUCUCGAAACGAGAACACAUGGCUGUCUGGCUGACGUUCGGGUCUGUUGGUUGUUCCGAACGGCAGUGAGAUCAAACGACCGAAUACACACGUAGACGCCGCAUCUCAGGGCUCUCAGGACGCGGGUUCAAUUCCCGCCGCCUCCACUU
RNAcentral lists this transfer-messenger RNA (374 nucleotides) under Planctomycetaceae. RNAcentral's name for it is "Caulifigura coniformis X1 Standard tmRNA". It matches the Rfam family "transfer-messenger RNA". From Rfam's summary of the family: Bacterial tmRNA, also known as 10Sa RNA or SsrA, is named for its dual tRNA and mRNA-like properties. Its role is to liberate the mRNA from a stalled ribosome. To accomplish this part of the tmRNA is used as a reading frame that ends in a translation stop signal. Lineage: Bacteria; Pseudomonadati; Planctomycetota; Planctomycetia; Planctomycetales. The record is from RNAcentral. RNAcentral also lists the same sequence under 1 other name.